This 1372-nucleotide ribosomal RNA is filed under the name uncultured bacterium. RNAcentral describes it as "bacterial SSU rRNA". It matches the Rfam family "Bacterial small subunit ribosomal RNA", at positions 28 to 1381 of the family's 1533-position model. The record is from RNAcentral.
GAUGAACGCUGGCGGCGUGCCUAAUACAUGCAAGUCGAGCGAACGGACGAGAAGCUUGCUUCUCUGAUGUUAGCGGCGGACGGGUGAGUAACACGUGGAUAACCUACCUAUAAGACUGGGAUAACUUCGGGAAACCGGAGCUAAUACCGGAUAAUAUUUUGAACCGCAUGGUUCAAAAGUGAAAGACGGUCUUGCUGUCACUUAUAGAUGGAUCCGCGCUGCAUUAGCUAGUUGGUAAGGUAACGGCUUACCAAGGCAACGAUGCAUAGCCGACCUGAGAGGGUGAUCGGCCACACUGGAACUGAGACACGGUCCAGACUCCUACGGGAGGCAGCAGUAGGGAAUCUUCCGCAAUGGGCGAAAGCCUGACGGAGCAACGCCGCGUGAGUGAUGAAGGUCUUCGGAUCGUAAAACUCUGUUAUUAGGGAAGAACAUAUGUGUAAGUAACUGUGCACAUCUUGACGGUACCUAAUCAGAAAGCCACGGCUAACUACGUGCCAGCAGCCGCGGUAAUACGUAGGUGGCAAGCGUUAUCCGGAAUUAUUGGGCGUAAAGCGCGCGUAGGCGGUUUUUUAAGUCUGAUGUGAAAGCCCACGGCUCAACCGUGGAGGGUCAUUGGAAACUGGAAAACUUGAGUGCAGAAGAGGGAAGUGGAAUUCCAUGUGUAGCGGUGAAAUGCGCAGAGAUAUGGAGGAACACCAGUGGCGAAGGCGACUUUCUGGUCUGUAACUGACGCUGAUGUGCGAAAGCGUGGGGAUCAAACAGGAUUAGAUACCCUGGUAGUCCACGCCGUAAACGAUGAGUGCUAAGUGUUAGGGGGUUUCCGCCCCUUAGUGCUGCAGCUAACGCAUUAAGCACUCCGCCUGGGGAGUACGACCGCAAGGUUGAAACUCAAAGGAAUUGACGGGGACCCGCACAAGCGGUGGAGCAUGUGGUUUGAUUCGAAGCAACGCGAAGAACCUUACCAAAUCUUGACAUCCUUUGACAACUCUAGAGAUAGAGCCUUCCCCUUCGGGGGACAAAGUGACAGGUGGUGCAUGGUUGUCGUCAGCUCGUGUCGUGAGAUGUUGGGUUAAGUCCCGCAACGAGCGCAACCCUUAAGCUUAGUUGCCAUCAUUAAGUUGGGCACUCUAAGUUGACUGCCGGUGACAAACCGGAGGAAGGUGGGGAUGACGUCAAAUCAUCAUGCCCCUUAUGGUUUGGGCUACACACGUGCUACAAUGGACAAUACAAAGGGCAGCGAAACCGCGAGGUCAAGCAAAUCCCAUAAAGUUGUUCUCAGUUCGGAUUGUAGUCUGCAACUCGACUACAUGAAGCUGGAAUCGCUAGUAAUCGUAGAUCAGCAUGCUACGGUGAAUACGUUCCCGGGUCU